This 253-nucleotide ribosomal RNA is filed under the name uncultured bacterium. RNAcentral's name for it is "partial 16S ribosomal RNA". It matches the Rfam family "Bacterial small subunit ribosomal RNA", at positions 524 to 776 of the family's 1533-position model. The record is from RNAcentral.
GACAGAGGCCUCAAGCGUUAGGCGGAAUCACUGGGCUUAAAGCGUGUGUAGGCGGAUGCCUAAGUACCUUGUGAAAUCCCACGGCUCAACCGUGGAACUGCUGGGUAUACUGGGCGGCUUGGGCCAGUCAGGGGCGACUGGAACAAGCGGUGGAGCGGUGAAAUGCGUAGAUAUCGCUUGGAACGCCGAAGGUGAAAACAGGUCGCUGGGGAUGUACCGACGCUUAGACACGAAAGCCAGGGGAGCAAACGGG